CAUAAAAUGCAUGGAGAGGAGAAGCAACAUUGAACAAGAAGGGGAGGAAGAGGGACAGUGUUGCCAGAAGAACCCUGAGGGUACCUACAUUAAGCUGGUUGGGAUGCAGAGAUGCCAAUGUUGCUGAGCAUUGUUUGCUGGUGGAUGUGGCCAAGGGCCUGAAUUUGUAACAAAUGAAGCAGAAGCAAUGUCAGAAUAAGAUCUGCAGAUUCACAUUCAUCAAAUAUUGAUUAAGAUCUAAUAGAGAUUGGGACUACAAUGCUAUCUCUUUUGUGUAAGGAACUGCCAAAUGAGGAAGCUCUUUCUACCAAUGCAGGUACAGCACGAACCAGAGGGCAGAGAGGCUGUUGGAAAAAGUCCUUGAGUAGAAGCUAGUGUUGUAGUUUGGUCCUAUAUAAUUAGAAUGUGGGUUAUGACUACGGGAAGAGAAGAAUGGUUGGAGAUGGAGAUGGACUGGUGAUGGCCUGCCUGUCAGAGAUGAAGAAACUGAAGCCCAGAGAAGUAAAAUGUCUUGC
This is a non-coding RNA of Phascolarctos cinereus (koala), 515 nucleotides long. NCBI's taxonomy places the organism in Eukaryota, Metazoa, Chordata, Mammalia, Diprotodontia, Phascolarctidae. The record is from RefSeq and is a predicted model, not a curated record.